GAACAUUAAAUCGAACUAUAUCAGAGCACAAAAUUCGGGCUCAGCGGCCAUCCAAGCGGACAAUUUAAAGUUUUCAAACCUCCACGCUACGCAGCGAGCGCGUCCUAAGAGACCCCAGAACGCGAAAACCGGCCGCACAGAGCAUAAGGUGAUUGCGUCAGCUGAUUUAAAGCUUGGCACGAAUAAUGCAGAAGUGUGCUGACGAAAGCUAAGGCUAGGUAUUGUAAGCAAGAUACGUACAGCGACGUGAGGCGGACAACCGCAUCCGGAUCCGUGGGCUGGCAGGCAACGCAACGUGCAUACCCAACCCAAGCUUUGCGUGGUUAUGCCUGCGUAAGGUGCACAUCUGCUGGAAUAAGCUGAUGGAUAUGCGGAAGCCCGAUAGCCCCAGCCGAUAAUUUCGCCAUCAUAACCCCCCAGGUGUAGUAGCUGGUACACAGUACGGCACACGUAACCUCUACAAAUACGCGCUAAGCGCGACCGCCAGCAUCUCGAGCGGCCUUUUCGGCGGCCAGCUACUACACCAGGUUGCUUCCCAUCCGACCCGAAAUCCGAUGGACCCGUGCUCAGCCUCCGGUGAGCCCAUGCAGCCCUAUGCAGCCAUAAAUAAGCUGCCGCCUAAACCCCGGCAAACUCCGGGCCCUCCGGAAUUGGCCUGCUAGCAAUCCAAUCGACUUACGUAACGGCUCUACUCUUCGUGAGUCUGGAGCCCACUGUAACAACCACACACGUGACAAGUGUGGCAUGCCGGCCCAUAUAUCAUACUUCACAGCUGCUAGGAACCGGAAGUCCAUAGCCAUUCUGUCCAUAUCAAUCUGUCAUCAAACUCGCCGUGCA
RNAcentral lists this long non-coding RNA (837 nucleotides) under Volvox carteri. Its description in RNAcentral is "long non-coding RNA (VCAR_LNC003590)". Lineage: Eukaryota; Viridiplantae; Chlorophyta; Chlorophyceae; Chlamydomonadales; Volvocaceae. The record is from RNAcentral.